This 256-nucleotide ribosomal RNA is filed under the name uncultured bacterium. RNAcentral describes it as "partial 16S ribosomal RNA". It matches the Rfam family "Bacterial small subunit ribosomal RNA", at positions 99 to 354 of the family's 1533-position model. The record is from RNAcentral.
CGGACGGGUGAGUAACGCGUGGAAAACCUGCCGUAUACUGGGGGAGUAACACUUAGAAAUAGGUGCUAAUACCGCAUAAGCGCACAGCUUCGCAUGAAGCGGUGUGAAAAACUCUGGUGGUAUACGAUGGUUCCGCGUCUGAUUAGCUAGUUGGUGGGGUAAUGGCCUACCAAGGCAACGAUCAGUAGCCGGCCUGAGAGGGCGGACGGCCACAUUGGGACUGAGACACGGCCCAGACUCCUACGGAAGGCAGCAG